UAGAGUUUGAUCAUGGCUCAGAAUGAACGCUGGCGGCGUGCUUAACACAUGCAAGUCGUACGAGAACGCUUCAGCUUGCUGAAGCUAGUAAAGUGGCGCACGGGUGAGUAACGCGUGGGUAAUCUACCUCCGAGUCGGGGAUAACCUCGCGAAAGCGGGGCUAAUACCGGAUAAUAUCUCUCGGAUUCCGGCCUUUUAGAUCAAAGGUGGCCUCUACAUGUAAGCUACCGUUCGGAGAUGAGCCCGCGUACCAUUAGCUUGUUGGUAGGGUAACGGCCUACCAAAGCCGCGAUGGUUAGCUGGUCUGAGAGGAUGAUCAGCCACACUGGAACUGACACACGGUCCAGACUCCUACGGGAGGCAGCAGUGAGGAAUUUUGCGCAAUGGGGGAAACCCUGACGCAGCAACGCCGCGUGAGUGAUGAAGGCCUUCGGGUCGUAAAGCUCUGUCAAGUGGGAAGAACCUGGACUAUGCCAAUACCAUAGACCACUGACGGUACCACUGAAGGAAGCACCGGCUAACUCCGUGCCAGCAGCCGCGGUAAUACGGAGGGUGCAAGCGUUAUUCGGAAUCACUGGGCGUAAAGGGCGCGCAGGCGGUUUGGUUAGUCAGAUGUGAAAGCCCGGGGCUCAACCCCGGAAGUGCAUUUGAUACUACCAAACUUGAGUAUGGGAGAGGGAAGUGGAAUUCCUGGUGUAGAGG
RNAcentral lists this ribosomal RNA (702 nucleotides) under uncultured Pseudomonadota bacterium. RNAcentral's name for it is "bacterial SSU rRNA". It matches the Rfam family "Bacterial small subunit ribosomal RNA", at positions 1 to 681 of the family's 1533-position model. The record is from RNAcentral. Lineage: Bacteria; Pseudomonadati; Pseudomonadota.